RNAcentral lists this ribosomal RNA (497 nucleotides) under uncultured bacterium. Its description in RNAcentral is "partial 16S ribosomal RNA". It matches the Rfam family "Bacterial small subunit ribosomal RNA", at positions 28 to 507 of the family's 1533-position model. The record is from RNAcentral.
GAUGAACGCUGGCGGCGUGCCUAAUACAUGCAAGUCGAGCGAACGGACGAGAAGCUUGCUUCUCUGAUGUUAGCGGCGGACGGGUGAGUAACACGUGGAUAACCUACCUAUAAGACUGGGAUAACUUCGGGAAACCGGAGCUAAUACCGGAUGAUAUUUUGAACCGCAUGGUUCAAAAGUGAAAGACGGUCUUGCUGUCACUUAUAGCUGGAUCCGCGCUGCAUUAGCUAGUUGGUAAGGUAACGGCUUACCAAGGCAACGAUGCAUAGCCGACCUGAGAGGGUGAUCGGCCACACUGGAACUGAGACACGGUCCAGACUCCUACGGGAGGCAGCAGUAGGGAAUCUUCCGCAAUGGGCGAAAGCCUGACGGAGCAACGCCGCGUGAGUGAUGAAGGUCUUCGGAUCGUAAAACUCUGUUAUUAGGGAAGAACAUAAGUGUAAGUAACUGUGCACAUCUUGACGGUACCUAAUCAGAAAGCCACGGCUAACUACGUG